This 72-nucleotide transfer RNA is filed under the name Ovis aries (sheep). It matches the Rfam family "tRNA". From Rfam's summary of the family: Transfer RNA (tRNA) molecules are approximately 80 nucleotides in length. The record is from Rfam by way of RNAcentral. Lineage: Eukaryota; Metazoa; Chordata; Mammalia; Artiodactyla; Bovidae.
UCCCAGCUAGCUCAGAUGGUAAAGAGUCUGCCUGCAAUGCAGGAGACCCAGGUUUGAUCCUUGGGUUGGAAC